This 572-nucleotide long non-coding RNA is filed under the name Rosa chinensis. RNAcentral's name for it is "sRNA RchiOBHm_Chr2g0130971". Lineage: Eukaryota; Viridiplantae; Streptophyta; Magnoliopsida; Rosales; Rosaceae. The record is from RNAcentral.
CUGCCCACAAUUAGCCUGAUCUCCAGAGGAAAGAACAACUGCACGCACGAUCAGAGGAGAUUGAAGACGACGUGGGAGAAUUCCAGAUUAUUGUUGUCCUAGAUUAUUGCGAUUGCAGUGGUCUUUUGGCUUGAGAUAUUUGUACACCCAAUUGAAAGAUUUCACAAUUGGAUACUUGAAUUCAUUGGACAGUACUAAAAAAUUGUCCGAGUUGGAUCAACAAAAUAAAGAUCAAGAAGACAAGUUUCUCAACUAUAUCCAAGAUAUGUGGGAAGGAAUUAUGGAGACCACAUACCUUCAAGAAGAAAUCGAUGAAGUCCGUGAUGAGUGGGCAGAAUUCGUUAGUGAUAAGUAACUUUAGACUUGAGACUUUUGCAAUGUGGAAUUGUGGAUCUUUAGUUCUAUGCUUUAACUAUGUACCUAUAGUGAAGCUUCUUUAAUUUGUAGCAAAACUACCUUUUCCAUUAUAUGACAGCUAGUAUAUAUUAGUUUCUUUUACUUUUGCAAAGUUCACUCAAGAAAUUUCAAUUGCGAAAGCAUUGUAAAUGUGAUUAUUUGAAGUAAUUCUCUAU